RNAcentral lists this ribosomal RNA (253 nucleotides) under uncultured bacterium. RNAcentral's name for it is "partial 16S ribosomal RNA". It matches the Rfam family "Bacterial small subunit ribosomal RNA", at positions 524 to 776 of the family's 1533-position model. The record is from RNAcentral.
UACGUAGGGGGCAAGCGUUGUCCGGAAUUAUUGGGCGUAAAGGGCUCGUAGGCGGUCUGUUGCGUCGGGAGUGAAAACUCAGGGCUUAACCCUGAGCCUGCUUCCGAUACGGGCAGACUGGAGGUAUGCAGGGGAGAACGGAAUUCCUGGUGUAGCGGUGAAAUGCGCAGAUAUCAGGAGGAACACCGGUGGCGAAGGCGGUUCUCUGGGCAUGUCCUGACGCUGAGGAGCGAAAGUGUGGGGAGCAAACAGG